RNAcentral lists this ribosomal RNA (254 nucleotides) under uncultured bacterium. RNAcentral's name for it is "partial 16S ribosomal RNA". It matches the Rfam family "Bacterial small subunit ribosomal RNA", at positions 524 to 776 of the family's 1533-position model. The record is from RNAcentral.
UACGAAGGGGGCUAGCGUUGCUCGGAAUCACUGGGCGUAAAGGGUGCGUAGGCGGGUCUAUAAGUCAGUGGUGAAAUCCGGCAGCUCAACUGUCGAUGUGCCAUUGAUACUGCAGAACUUGAGUACAGACGAGGUAGGCGGAAUUGACGGUGUAGCGGUGAAAAUGCUUAGAUAUCGUCAAGAACACCGAUAGCGAAGGCAGCUUACUAGACUGUAACUGACGCUGAUGCACGAAAGUGUGGGGAUCAAACAGG